Molecule: ribosomal RNA, 569 nt
Filed under: Alloscardovia omnicolens
Lineage: Bacteria; Bacillati; Actinomycetota; Actinomycetes; Bifidobacteriales; Bifidobacteriaceae
Description: bacterial SSU rRNA
Rfam family: Bacterial small subunit ribosomal RNA
Source: RNAcentral
GCAGUCGACGGGAUCCUUUCUAGCUUGCUAGGGGGGUGAGAGUGGCGAACGGGUGAGUAACGCGUGAUUAACCUGCCGUGUAGUUUGGAAUAGCUCCUGGAAACGGGUGGUAAUGCCGAAUGUUCCACAUGCUCGCAUGGGUGUGUGGGAAAACGUUUUAGUGCUAUGCGAUGGGAUCGCGUCCUAUCAGCUUGUUGGUGGGGUAGUGGCCUACCAAGGCUUCGACGGGUAGCCGGCCUGAGAGGGCGACCGGCCACAUUGGGACUGAGAUACGGCCCAGACUCCUACGGGAGGCAGCAGUGGGGAAUAUUGCACAAUGGGGGGAACCCUGAUGCAGCGACGCCGCGUGCGGGAUGACGGCCUUCGGGUUGUAAACCGCUUUUAUUGGGGAGCAAGCGUGAGUGAGUGUACCUUUUGAAUAAGCACCGGCUAACUACGUGCCAGCAGCCGCGGUAAUACGUAGGGUGCAAGCGUUGUCCGGAAUUAUUGGGCGUAAAGAGCUCGUAGCGGUUUGUCGCGUCUGGUGUGAAAGUCCAUCGCUUAACGGUGGAUUGGCGCUGGGUACGGGC